Molecule: ribosomal RNA, 626 nt
Filed under: Pseudomonas sp. Horo_1
Lineage: Bacteria; Pseudomonadati; Pseudomonadota; Gammaproteobacteria; Pseudomonadales; Pseudomonadaceae
Description: bacterial SSU rRNA
Rfam family: Bacterial small subunit ribosomal RNA
Source: RNAcentral
GCAGUCGAGCGGAUGAAGGGAGCUUGCUCCUGGAUUCAGCGGCGGACGGGUGAGUAAUGCCUAGGAAUCUGCCUGGUAGUGGGGGAUAACGUCCGGAAACGGGCGCUAAUACCGCAUACGUCCUGAGGGAGAAAGUGGGGGAUCUUCGGACCUCACGCUAUCAGAUGAGCCUAGGUCGGAUUAGCUAGUUGGUGGGGUAAAGGCCUACCAAGGCGACGAUCCGUAACUGGUCUGAGAGGAUGAUCAGUCACACUGGAACUGAGACACGGUCCAGACUCCUACGGGAGGCAGCAGUGGGGAAUAUUGGACAAUGGGCGAAAGCCUGAUCCAGCCAUGCCGCGUGUGUGAAGAAGGUCUUCGGAUUGUAAAGCACUUUAAGUUGGGAGGAAGGGCAGUAAGUUAAUACCUUGCUGUUUUGACGUUACCAACAGAAUAAGCACCGGCUAACUUCGUGCCAGCAGCCGCGGUAAUACGAAGGGUGCAAGCGUUAAUCGGAAUAACUGGGCGUAAAGCGCGCGUAGGUGGUUCAGCAAGUUGGAUGUGAAAUCCCCGGGCUCAACCUGGGAACUGCAUCCAAAACUACUGAGCUAGAGUACGGUAGAGGGUGGUGGAAUUUCCUGUGUAGC